AUGGCUGCGGCGGCAGGGGGCAGCGGGCUCGACCAUGCGGUGGUCGCUACCUCCCUGGUUACGGUCAAGAGUGAAGAACACAACAUGAGUUGUGGCAGUUUUUAAUGAGUUCUGCACUAACGAAUGGUCUGGCUGUGGUGGUUAUGCUGAAGACCUAAACGCCUCUAAGGGGUGUAAUGCAAGAUGAACAGACCUGUCGGCCUGGAACGCUGGUGUGCUACUCCCUCUGCCUCUCCGUGUCAGUUAAGCGUUCAGCAAACCAAUGAGUUCACCAUGUAACACAUACUAUUGCUUUAGCUACAUUUAAACACUCACAGACAUUUCAACUCGAACUCUGCUGAGAGCAAAGUGUAACACUGCGUAUGGUUCACCAUAGAACCCGGUGCUGAAUAUUUUAAAAAGCUGCUGUAUCCGUGAUGGAGCAUUUACAACUGAAAGUAUUCUGGCACAAAAGCUGCUUGUUCAGCCUUUCGUUAGACCCGCACAAACAUUAACAUGAUCUUCCUUUGUGGUUCCUUUUUUUUUUUUCCUACUAACUACAAAGAAUAAGAGAAGAAAAAACCCCAGAUCUACUGUUACCUGCAAAAGUCACGAACACAAAGUAUUACCAUGGCUGUGAUUUCUCUGAAUAAGUGUGUGAUACUCUCCUUAUAUAUGGGGUGAAUACUGAUGAAUUUUCAAAACUCUUGAAAUCAACAAUAUAAGAGAAAGGUAUCCCCCCAUCCUGUCCUCCCUUGGAAAGCUGAAGGACAUAAAGCGAAGGUGUUCCAGUUCUUUGUCUAUUGAUCUUCACCAGGAAAUGCUGGGUUUGACUCUGUACCUUGAAGGAAAUAAGCAUUUAAAAUGUAGCCAUCAACACCAGCCUUUCAGAGCAACAGCAACACUCGGAGCCUUUCUCAGCAUCAUGAAUUGCUCAUGAAUCAAUUUGUGAAAGACCCUUCAUAGAGACAUUGAGGUAAGAGUCACAGGAGCUACUGAAUAUUUUUCCCACCUUGUGCUAUUAUUUACGUUAUGGCUCAGGGACUACAAAUAAGAGUUACUCAUGAAACAUUCUUUUUAAAAGGUGGUAAUCUGAUUAACUAUUAAAGUCUCUUAAUGGAAUUUUAUACAAUUCUCCUUGUUUACACACUCAUUUUGGGCUUCAGCUUAGUCUUGCUGAGGUUCUUAGAGAUUUUAAUUCAACCUUGCAAAUUUUUAUCUGCUGGUUUUCCUUGUGCAUCAGUUCAAAGAGGAGCGUCUCCUGGAUGACUUCUUUUCCCCUACAUUAUGGUUUUCAGCAUGCCAUACAGGUGAUAUUUAGACUUCUGUAUUUCCAUCUAAGCCUGGUAGUCACAAUAUAUGUAUCUUAUUUCUGACACUGUAUUUGAUACUGAGAAAAAAAGGCUUUGCAUUCAUCUGAAAUACGUAGGAUUUUGAGUUAUUGCAAUUAGAUGGAACAGCUGAGAUUGUUGUCCUGUCAAUUUAUAGCUGUAGCUAAAGUUUCAGAGGGCAGGAGACUAUCACACUAGUUUAAAGGUGGUCAGAUGCCCUUUUCGUGUUGGUAAGUCUCAAUGAAGUGCCUUUCAGUAAUCUAACUGAAAUGGUGAUGUUAUAAUAACCAGGUCAGCGGUUGGAAGAAACAGUUAUAAUCAAUAGAGAUAUAAAAAUGAAAAACUUCUUAGACAAGGUUGCUUUAUGAUUAAUCAAUAAUAGCUGAAGGUUGAAUAUAACCAAAGUAUUGCAGUUUUAUUAGCUUGUCCUUGAGUAAAGUGAUACCCAGAAAUGACAUAUAUCCAAAUCAGGGUGUAGAACAGCCGGUAUUCCCAGAAUUUGUGAGGAGAAGCUGAACUAAACCAGGGAAGAUUUGCAUGUGUACAAGAAAUCAGAUUAUGCUAUGCUUCUUUAUUCAGUUCUUUGAAUAGUUAAUAUGAACUUUAUCUGGGAGUCCCAAUAAAACACUCUAAAAGGUAGUGUUCACAUGGAGAGGCAAUGAAAGUAUAACCAUUACAAAAAGACAAAACCAAAUAUUGUAAAAUUAUUAAACCCAAAAAUCCUUCAUUACACGUGUUAGACUGGUGGGUAAUCUUCUUUGAUCUUGUAAAAACUUAUUAGUGAGAAGAGCCAACUAAUCUCUAUUGAUUUCCUAUCAUAAUUAUUUAAGCUGACCUUUGAUUAAACUUGACUAUUUCUUUGUUUCCUUUAGAAGUCAUUACUCCACCUUCUCCUCCUCCAAAUACAUAGUAUUCUGUAUAGCAAGUUUGGAAUAGAUAGGCACCCAAGGUUCAUUUUGUCACAGAUUCUACUUUAGUGUAGAUAUAUGUUUCCACUAGUGGUUUUCAGUUUCUACAGUAUACUGUAUCUUCCUGACCUGGAUAUGGAAGGAAGCCUGAGGGAAUCAAGUCUACUUUGCACCUGCAGUACAGAAGCUUCCCAGUUUCACAGAGAGGAGUCAAAGAAGUGAACACUGGAAUCCAAACUUCAGAAGCUUCACAAACUGCAGAAAAUAAUAUUUGAAGACAGAUCAGUCUGAAGAUUACCUGAACACCAUGAAGAUUUUAAGUGCAAUAAUUAAGUCCUACCACAAGAGGACCCCCAAAGACAGUUUGUCUUGAGUGGAAAACGAGAUGAUACAAAUUUGUCUUCAGAACACUGAUGUGUGCCAUACAUUUAAUUAUGCUUCUAGAUAGCUUAUACAUUUCACUGUAAUUUUUAAAGAAGACAUGGUAUUAGCUCCUUAAAUACUGGCUACAGACUACGUUAGGACUAAUAGUAUUUCACAUAAACCCAGGAACCAUAUUUGAACCAAAUUAAACACUAAGAACAUAUAAUGACUUUUGUUAUUAUUUUUGUUAGUAGUAAAUUUAAACACUUAGAAAGGAUUUUUUUAUUAUUGCUAAAUGCAUUUUAAUUUUGAGAACUGUCUUGUAUACCAUGAUCUAGAUUGUUCUUCCAUUACUUUCAUCUACUCAGAACACUAUGAAACACUUAUGCAGUACCUGUGCUGAAUCCUGAAGUUCCCUUACAGACACUUUAACUAGACAAUACUUAUUCUGCUUUAAUGAUCCUGUCCCUUGCAGCUUACAUUUUCACAGACUUCUUUUACAUUUUCACAGACUUUCAAAGAAAAUCAUAUGCACUAAGAGUGGAGCGUGAGGUUGAGCUCUCUUGGAUUAUAAUGAAAAGUCAACUAAAUGUUCUCAUUCUACAGGAAGGACUUCGGUGCUGUACUCUUUACUCUUUAAAAAGCUCCACUUCAAUAAUGUAUUGCUAAACCAAAUCAAAUGAGAUUUUCAGCAAAACCAUCGUGAUUAAAUGGAAGGCUGCUAAAGGAACAGCCGUUCUAAUUUAAUCUCAAAAAAAAGAGGCAGUAUCAAACAAGGAAUGGAAACUUAUUCAAAACUUUUAAACUACUUUUUAAUAACAAGUUAGAGAAGUCUAUCUUUACAAAACAACAGAAAAAAUAAGGUUAUCACUUUAGAAAGAGUCUACUUACCGUUCAGAAAAUUUUAAAUCAGGACACUUAGGUGAAUAACUAUAUGUAUAAAAUUUAGCUUCAGUAACUCAUUAGAAUGGUCUAAUUUUGAUGACAGAAGAGGUCAGUCUUGGUUGUAAAAGUAUAUGGUCUAAAGCCAAAGCCCUGACUUUGUAGAUACAUAGACAAAACCAAGACGUUUUCCCAUUACUUUUUAGAAAAAACAAGAAGUGCAAGUAGUUUAUGGUAGUUCAUCCAAAUAUAGUUCUACAGAAAGUAAGAGACAUUUUGAUACUAUAAAAGAAGGUGAUAUUCUACUUACAAUGAUAAUCAAGCUAAAUGACAAUUAAUUAUCAUGAAUAUUCCUACCAUUCACUAUACAAUCACUUCAGCUCAUGUAACAGUCAAAGGCUCUAGGCCUGUGUUCAACACAAGCAAACACUUAGGUAUUCUUAAAAGCAGUAUGAGCUAGUUUUACUAAAGUGUCAUAGAGAACAGUUUCCUCAGAUCUCUUAAUCUGAGUAUGAAAAUAUUGAUGACAUGUCUUUGAGCUUAGACUUGAAUAAGCCUGAGUUUAGAUAAAUCAUUACUACAAGACUCAGUCUGCUUUU
This is a long non-coding RNA of Grus americana (Whooping crane), 4062 nucleotides long. RefSeq lists it as uncharacterized. The transcript has 4 exons. The record is from RefSeq and is a predicted model, not a curated record. NCBI's taxonomy places the organism in Eukaryota, Metazoa, Chordata, Aves, Gruiformes, Gruidae.